RNAcentral lists this long non-coding RNA (360 nucleotides) under Vitis vinifera (wine grape). RNAcentral describes it as "long non-coding RNA (VVIN_LNC002705)". Lineage: Eukaryota; Viridiplantae; Streptophyta; Magnoliopsida; Vitales; Vitaceae. The record is from RNAcentral.
GAUCUCUCAGCUUUUGAGUCCCAGAUGAAGUACUUUCAGAUCCCUUAUCUUGACGGAAACUGGGAAGCUUCAAUGGAUGCCUUACUCAGCGGGGAUGCUGCUCAGGAUGGUGGAAACCCAAUGGACCUUUGGAGCUUUGAUGAUCUGCCUACUGUGGUGGGGGGAGUUUUCUGAGCAAACUUUUCCCUUGCUAGCUGGUCUUCUGUAAAUAAAGCUACAUGUUAGUAAAUUUCACCCUACCAUUAACUUAUUAAUGAUUUUGUAUCUCUCUGAUUCCUUGCUUUAUUUGGAUGCUUCUUUGCUUCUUAAAAAUAGGUUUUCUUUCUCAUCUUUUCUGUUUUCAGGAAUGGUUGUUGCCAG